Molecule: ribosomal RNA, 253 nt
Filed under: uncultured bacterium
Lineage: Bacteria
Description: partial 16S ribosomal RNA
Rfam family: Bacterial small subunit ribosomal RNA
Source: RNAcentral
UACAGAGGUCUCAAGCGUUGUUCGGAUUUAUUGGGCGUAAAGAGCGUGUAGGCGGCCAGGUAGGUCAGCUGUGAAAACUCGAGGCUCAACCUCGAGACGCCGGUUGAAACCAUCUGGCUAGAGUCCGGAAGAGGAGAGUGGAAUUCCGCGUGUAGCAGUGAAAUGCGUAGAUAUGCGGAGGAACACCGAUGGCGAAGGCAAUCCCCUGGGCCUGCACUGACGCUCAUGCACGAAAGCGUGGGGAGCAAACAGG